UACGUAGGGGGCAAGCGUUGUCCGGAAUGACUGGGCGUAAAGGGUGCGUAGGUGGUUGUUUAAGUUGGAAGUGUAAUACCCAGGGCUUAACCCGGGUGCUGCUUCCAAGACUGAAUGACUUGAGUGCAGGAGAGGAAAGCGGAAUUCCUAGUGUAGCGGUGGAAUGCGUAGAUAUUAGGAGGAACACCGGAGGCGAAGGCGGCUUUCUGGACUGUAACUGACACUGAGGCACGAAAGCGUGGGGA
Molecule: ribosomal RNA, 245 nt
Filed under: uncultured Eubacteriales bacterium
Lineage: Bacteria; Bacillati; Bacillota; Clostridia; Eubacteriales
Description: uncultured Clostridiales bacterium partial 16S ribosomal RNA
Rfam family: Bacterial small subunit ribosomal RNA
Source: RNAcentral